Molecule: transfer RNA, 69 nt
Filed under: Porotermes adamsoni (Australian dampwood termite)
Lineage: Eukaryota; Metazoa; Arthropoda; Insecta; Blattodea; Termopsidae
Description: tRNA-Gln
Source: RNAcentral
UACAUUUUGGUGUAUAGUGCACAAGAACUUUUGAUGUUUUGGGGGAUAGUUUGAUUCUAUUGGAUGUAA